CUUUCAAGGUUUUAGUCUCAUACAGAAUACUGUUUAUGUCCCCAACUAACACAUUAAUGGUACUUCAAUACAUUAUAAAAAUAUUACAGAACAACAAAAAUCACAUCCAUUCAAGCUGCUCCAGAUAAGUCUUCCUUCUCUUAAGAGUAGUUAAGAGGCACUGAAAUCUAUAGGCAAGUUAUCUUGUUAUCAUGUGUUUUAAUGUUAUGUAAUAACCUCACCUUACAUUCCAUAAAAGCAGGCUGAUAGCAGAGGCGCCAGAUGAGAAACAUCACCGCAGUUGCAUCUCAGACCACUACAGACCACUAACACAACUGCCAGCUUUCUUUGUAUCCGUGCCUCAGCUAGAAAAUUGCUAUUAACUUCAUUAAUAUCCAUGACAUAUUUCAGAGUUUCUUCAUGCACAGGAUUGUUUAUUUCAGCUAAUUCCAUCAAAACAUGGAUAAACUUUUACUUCAUUUAAAUGCUUCAGAGUUGUAAUGACAGGGAUGAGAAACCUUUCAAGAAGAUUGCAGGUGAUGAAGCAGAUACCCAUCUACACGUUUAGGUGCUUUCAAUAGAGAGAACUGUGACAUGAUCUUGUUAUAGCUUUUUUGUUCUCCCCUCCUUAUUUUUGAAUUCAAGAAGAAUGAUAGGAAGUUCAUGAAGGUUUGCAAAAAGAUUUCACCUGUCUUUUUCUACAUUCAGGCUUCCUAUCAUCAGUUUUUACCUUAUCACCCUCAGUUACAUUUCUUUAUACAGUACUGAGCUCUCUUUGCCAUGGGCUGAUGUGUUUCACAUAGUUCACAUGUACAUCCACUGACUGCUUCUCCUCAUCCGUUUUCUAUUCCCAGGAGUAACAAACAGAACCCAGAGCCUCAAGUCGCACCUUUUUAAGGUGGAAAAAAUACAGGAAGCCGUUCAUACGGCUAAAACACAGGGAAGAGGAGCGGCAGGUAAGCGUUAGGCUGUCAACACUGGGCAAAAGUUACAGGGAGGAAAGCGCCCGCCAGCCCCAGCACCUCAGCCAGCCCCCCCGGCUCACGGCGCUCAGCGGGCCGCCCGCAAAGCGCUCCCCGCAGCCCCGGGCCGGCGGGGAGGCGGCAGCUCGGUCUUCGCUUCCCAACGGGAGCCGGGAGUUGCCAGUCAUUUCGAGGGCUGGAAGGAGGGGCUGGCGGCAACAAAUCGCUUUCUGCUUCCACCAGCGCAGGCAGUUUUUAUACCGCGAGAGAGCCCGGGACUCGGGGGAGGUGGGCUCGCCGCAGGGCGGGAGCGGCUCGGCGGAGGGGCAACCCCGCGGCACCCGCCGCUCGCCCGGGGAGGCCUCGCCCGGACAGGGCCCCGCGGCGGGGCGGGACCAGACCCCGGCCCGGCCUCGCCCCGGGGAUGCCCGAGCUCUGCGCGCCGCCGGGCCGCCGCCCGGCCCGGGAGGGCAGCGGCCUCGCAGCCACGCGGAGGAUGAGGGACCCCCCCGCCCCUCCCCCCGCCGCGGCAAACCCGCUUCCCGGGGCGGCGGAGCGGGGAGGGCCGCGCCGGGCCGGAGCCCCCCCGAGGCGGGAAGGCGCACGCGGAACUGAGGACACGCGCCCGCAGAUUUGCCAACGAGCAACUACAGAAAAUGAAUGAAUUUAAAUACAAAUACCAAUGUGCUCUGUUAAUGAACCUGCGUUGCCCCGAGGAAAUCACAACAUCCCAGUUGUAUGGAGUUCAGAUGGCCAGGCUGGUGGAAAUGUUUUUGGUGGAGGUAUACAGGUGCAAGCUGUGCCAGUUCACAAGCAGCAUCAAAAGCAAGAUUAGGACACACCUGGCUAAUACGUAUGAAACGGAUACGGCACAUCAGAUUUCAGGCUGUCCUGAAAUGGGCUGAGACAAAAAUUAUUUGUGUAGCAUAGGAGAUGAAGCUAAUCAAGAAAAUAAAGAAAACUAAGACAAUCUUGCAAAAAAUGUCUGUCACAUUUUGAAGCAUCUGAAACACAGGUAAUGAGUCCUGACUGUUGUGACGUGAGCCCAAGCAGUCAGAGCAAUAAUCCUUAUGUCUGUCAGUCCUGUGAAGUGAACAACUUGUUUGGAGAAGCAGAAACUCAUUUGCAGCUUGAGGAUCCCUGUUCUGCAGUGCUCACUUCUCUUUCAUAUUCCAGGAGCAGAGAUGAAGAACACCCAUCUGUGCGUCUUUGCCUCUGUCGUGUUUCCAGUGUUAGAACUUGGACCUUAGCUAGGAAGAUAAAAACCCUAAGAAAGCUAGAUGGGACAGUAAAGGGCUACCUCAUCCUGUGAAAGAUGCUUGUGCCUUAAAGCUGGGUUCAGAGAGAAAGCAGCAUUCCUGCAACGCAUGUAAUGUAGCACUGCAGUCAAAAGAUGCUCAUAAAAUCCAUGAAAAGGGUCAUGAUGUGGAUUGUGGCUUUAAAUGUGUUUAUUGUUGCGUGACUGAGUGGGACUUAAUCGGAAAUUAUUUAAAACCACAGAAGUGGAUAAAAGAAACCUACCAGUACCUCAUCUGUGAAAGUCUUUUUAUGUCACAAAGUGCCUGGGAAGUGCACAGAAACAGCCAUCGGAGGAAACAUCAUCUCUUUUUGUGGGCAAUAUAUUCAUCAUCCCUUGAAAAUGAGUGGAUAAGAAAUCUUCAUGUAGCUUGUCAUUCUCAGGAUAUAUUUGAAUGUCCACACAGUGAUUUUACCACUAAGGAAUGGAUGAAGGUCUACAAAGGUGCACAAACCACGGUUACAGUUUCAGACUGCAUCCUUGUACUGAAUGUGAGAUGAGAGAGGUUUUUUCCAAAGGUGAGAAGCCGUUCAAAUGUGAGAUCUGCUCUUACACCUCCAUUGAUGUAAGCUCUCUGCAGCGACAUUUCUGAACAUGCACUAGUGAGAGGACCUACAAAUGUUGACUCUGUUCAUACAGUCGCAUUCAGAAGAAGAGCUUGGACCUUCAGAUGCACUGACAUCACACUUGUGAAGCAUUUGGCUGUAGUUUUUGCUGCUAUUCUUCCCAUGACAAACAACUUCAGAAACACAUUAAGAAAUGUCACUUGGGUUCAGGAGCUGGUUCCCAGCCCACCUUUACCCUCAAAUCACUUCCUGUGGAACAUUAGGUCCUUCACUCUUAAACUUCACCAGAGCAUCCCAGCAAAUAAAGAAGCUGUUGGCAUUGUCAGACUUUUGUGCUGAAAGCCAGGGGUUAUCUGGAAGAAGAGAAGAAGUGAUCCUUGUGUGCCGAUUAAAAGCACUUAGGAAUGGUCUUCCAAAGAACUGUGUGCGCAUUAUGGUGCAGGUGGUGACUCCAGUGUGCUGAGAGGAGUGUGGAGGUUUGGGUUGCGCAAAGGGUAGACAUGUAGAUUUGUUAGGGUUACCUCUUGCUCAUACGUUCCGCUUGCUUACAAAUGAAGGGUUUGACAUUUCAAGGCAGAAUCUGUUGAAAUGUAUGUACCAAAGCUGACAGUGACAAAGCUAACAGGUGGUUUCUGUACUAAGUCUCUCAUUUUUAACACAGGUCUUUAUAUAAAACAGUAAAUUACUGAAGAAAAUCAACUGAUGCAAUAGCACUCACAAUGGGGUAAAAAAAAAGUCAAAUAAACUUCUUCAUGGUUAUUUUUUAUAACAAAACGUGUUAUCAUAAGCUAAUCCAAUGUUGAAGUAAAAAUACAAACUAUUGAAAUAUGACAUCAAAUAAACUUGACUUGAAAAUCCA
Falco peregrinus (peregrine falcon) is the source of this 3663-nucleotide long non-coding RNA. RefSeq lists it as uncharacterized. NCBI's taxonomy places the organism in Eukaryota, Metazoa, Chordata, Aves, Falconiformes, Falconidae. The transcript has 5 exons. The record is from RefSeq and is a predicted model, not a curated record.